GCGUUUAUCCGAUAGCAAGAGAAUACACAAUGCAUACUCGAAAACAGAGGAGUCUAUCUAACCUCGCCAACAGGACAAAAGAUUGCGCCCAUCUAUGGCGCGUUAAUCGGAUACGUUCGCGUCGCUCGCAGAAAAUAAUAAACACGGCAUCACGUAACCUUCGGGCCGGUAUGAACCUUUAAAAUUCCACGGUUAAUUAUUGAAUGUCGUGAACAAGUGAACCGCCGUCCUCCAGAAAUCUGGGCGCGUUUCUCAGCCCAUGAAACGAAUUAUGGGCAUGCAAAAUUCGAAGAGUUACUUUCUUUAAGUAUCGUUCACCAUCGUAGAUGGCGCUACGAAAGCUCAUCCACCGAAUAUUUCUUCGCAGACAGGACACAGACGAUGACAUAAUAUCGAAAAAAUCGUUGCAGACGGUGAAGCAGAUCAUCAACUUCCUGAAAGAACAUGCCAGAGAGGAAGGUUUAUUCCGACGUGCAGGCCGUCGUGAUCUCAGAAGAAGGAUCUUAAAUUCUUUGAAGAAAGGAGAGAAACCUCAUUUAGGGAACAAUGACGCGGCUUUGGAAUGCGCAGCAGCGUUACAACUUUUCUUAUGUCAUUUAAAGAAACCCGUCAUGCCCCAGCACGUCCAGCAGCUUCUUCUGGCUGAUAAUCCCGGAGUGACCGCCCACAUGAUCGCCAGAGACGCCCUAGGAUUGAUACGACAGGAUGUUGGUGGUCGUCAUGGAGAGCUAUUGGCUGGUCUUCUUGAUUUACUGAGACACUUGACCCUUUCUGGUCCUCCAUCCGAGAGAUCAGAGCUUCGUGGUUCACCGCUUCCGAUUGCACUGCUUCCAGUCUUCUUCACUUUAACGCCGGCUGAUCUGGUAAAAUGGAAGCAAGUGGCCGCCAGAUUCAGCGAAUUAAUUACCGAGGCCCCUGAGCAACUGCAGCUGAAUGAAAAUCGAUUGUACGAAAUAGAAUCAACGAGGCUAUCCAUUGGGAACGCGGGCAACGUAAGAAAUAGAAACUUUCUCACGGCGUAGAAAAGAUUAACUGGAUAUUGUUUUUCGAAAAACAAUUUUUCUUCAUCCGCCACUCAUAUUUGUUCGCGAUGAAAAAUUGAAUAUUUGAAAAAAAAAGAGAGAGAGAGAGAAAAGAAUUUUUCCGUGGAGAGAGAUUGAAUCUUUAUUUUUCUCUUUUUUUAAUGAAAAGAAAAUUGUAAAAUUACAAAGGUUAGGUUGGAGAGAUAACUGGGAUUCUUGAUGUGCCGUUGCACGGUCCACCGGCGAGUAGACUUCAUCCAGUAAUUUCCAAUUCGAAUUGAAAGCACCUAGUAUUAAGCGGCAUUACAAAUGUAAUUUUUUUUGUACACAUGUAACGAGAUAUUUUAAAUUACCUGCAUUUCCGCCCAUAUCUUCAAUCGCGGAAUUUAAUUCCUUUUUUUUUUUUCCUAACAUUACAUUUUUUUUUCAAUAUUUUUCUUCUUUUUUUUUCAUUCUAUUCUUGUCCUCUUUCUUCUUACUUAAGAAACUUUGAUCCUUCAUUUUGAUUUGGAAUGAAAAUGAUUUGGCGUGUAAAAAAAAAAAUUAAGAAUAUAUAUAUGUACGGUAUAUAUAUGAUAAAUAUGCUAGAGAUUAUCAAUUUGUAAUCAAUUAUAUUUGAAAAAAUAUAAAAAUAAA
This is an RNA transcript of Apis dorsata (giant honeybee), 1658 nucleotides long. RefSeq lists it as uncharacterized. Lineage: Eukaryota; Metazoa; Arthropoda; Insecta; Hymenoptera; Apidae. The record is from RefSeq and is a predicted model, not a curated record. The transcript is spliced from 6 exons.